RNAcentral lists this ribosomal RNA (294 nucleotides) under uncultured bacterium. Its description in RNAcentral is "partial 16S ribosomal RNA". It matches the Rfam family "Bacterial small subunit ribosomal RNA", at positions 775 to 1067 of the family's 1533-position model. The record is from RNAcentral.
GGAUUAGAUACCCUGGUAGUCCAUGCUGUAAACGAUGAGAACUAGCUGUUGGAUUCCUUAGAGAAUUUAGUGGCGCAGCUAACGCGAUAAGUUCUCCGCCUGGGGAGUACGGCCGCAAGGCUAAAACUCAAAUGAAUUGACGGGAGCCCGCACAAGCGGUGGAGCAUGUGGUUUAAUUCGAUGCAACGCGAAGAACCUUACCUACACUUGACAUCCCUGGAAUUUGCGAGAGAUCGCAAAGUGCCUUCGGGAACCAGGUGACAGGUGCUGCAUGGCUGUCGUCAGCUCGUGCCG